AAACACUUAUUGUCAACCACCACAAAUAGGCUUCAUUGGAUUCCAUGGUAUUGGAUUUCAUGGUACUACUUAAUUUAAGUAUUCCAGUGUUUUAGUCCUAAAAAGAUAAAUAACAUUUCUUUCAUCAAAUGUUUGAAUUCUAAGCUUCAUUUAUUAUUUGUAACUUUAUUUUAACAUCAUUCAUAAAAUUAAUAAAGAAUUAAAAUUAUCCACUUACUAGGUUUUCAUUAUUAUAAAAAUAAGUGAUUUAUGCAUAUAUUAUGAAUUAGUUUGAAUGGAUAGAAUGAGGUGGGAAUGGAAUGACAUGGGAUAAAGUGACAUCCUAUUAUCUGAAUUAGUUAAAAUUGGAUGUAGUAUAAUGAAGUUGUAAUGAUACCAGCUCAGUCUCUUUUCACCGCUCACGAAUUCAGAAGAAGAAAGAAGAAGUCUCUUUUCACCGCUCACGAAUUCAGAAGAAGAAAGAAGAAG
RNAcentral lists this long non-coding RNA (468 nucleotides) under Lathyrus oleraceus (garden pea). Its description in RNAcentral is "Pisum sativum (pea) long non-coding RNA (PSAT_LNC004161)". The record is from RNAcentral. Lineage: Eukaryota; Viridiplantae; Streptophyta; Magnoliopsida; Fabales; Fabaceae.